This 459-nucleotide ribosomal RNA is filed under the name uncultured bacterium. RNAcentral's name for it is "partial 16S ribosomal RNA". It matches the Rfam family "Bacterial small subunit ribosomal RNA", at positions 338 to 795 of the family's 1533-position model. The record is from RNAcentral.
CCUACGGGCUGCUGCAGUGAGGAAUAUUGGUCAAUGGGCGCGAGCCUGAACCAGCCAAGUCGCGUGAGGGAAGACGGUCCUAUGGAUUGUAAACCUCUUUUGUCGGGGAGCAAAAGACGCCACGCGUGGCGUUCCGAGAUUACCCGAAGAAAAAGCAUCCGCUCACUCCGUGCCAGCAGCCGCGGUAAUAAGGAGGAUGCGAGCGUUAACCGGAUUUAUGGGGGUUAAAGGGUGCGCAGGGGGAAGAUCAAUGGAGCGGGAAAAUUGAGAGGCUCAACCUCUUCGAGCCGUUGAAACUGGUUUUCUGGAGUGAGUGAGAAGUAUGCGGAAUGCGUGGUGGAGCGGUGAAAUGCAUAGAUAUAACGCAGAACUCCGAUUGCGAAGGCAGCAUACCGGCGCUCAACUGACGCUCAUGCACGAAAGUGUGGGUAUCGAACAGGAUUAGAUACCCCUGUAGUC